RNAcentral lists this ribosomal RNA (119 nucleotides) under Pteropus alecto (black flying fox). RNAcentral also lists the same sequence under 1 other name. The record is from RNAcentral. Lineage: Eukaryota; Metazoa; Chordata; Mammalia; Chiroptera; Pteropodidae.
GUCUGCGGCCAUGCUACCCUGAACAAGCCCAAUCCUAUCUGAUUUCAGAAGCUAAGCAGAAUCGGGCCUGGCUAGUACUUGGAUGGGAGACCACCUAGGCAGACCAGGUGCCGUAGGCA